This 544-nucleotide ribosomal RNA is filed under the name uncultured bacterium. RNAcentral's name for it is "partial 16S ribosomal RNA". It matches the Rfam family "Bacterial small subunit ribosomal RNA", at positions 355 to 889 of the family's 1533-position model. The record is from RNAcentral.
UAGGGAAUCUUCCACAAUGGACGCAAGUCUGAUGGAGCAACGCCGCGUGAGUGAAGAAGGUUUUCGGACCGUAAAGCUCUGUUGUUGGUGAAGAAGGAUAGAGGUAGUAACUGGCCUUUAUUUGACGGUAAUCAACCAGAAAGUCACGGCUAACUACGUGCCAGCAGCCGCGGUAAAUCGUAGGUGGCAAGCGUUGUCCGGAUUUAUUGGGCGUAAAGCGAGCGCAGGCGGAAGAAUAAGUCUGAUGUGAAAGCCCUCGGCUUAACCGAGGAAUUGCAUCGGAAACUGUUUUUCUUGAGUGCAGAAGAGGAGAGUAGAACUCCAUGUGUAGCGGUGGAAUGCGUAGAUAUAUGGAAGAAUACCAGUGGCGAAGGCGGCUCUCUGGUCUGCAACUGACGCUGAGGCUCGAAAGCAUGGGUAGCGAACAGGAUUAGAUACCCUGGUAGUCCAUGCCGUAAACGAUGAGUGCUAAGUGUUGGGAGGCUUCCGCCUCUCAGUGCUGCAGCUAACGCAUUAAGCACUCCGCCUGGGGGAGUACGACCGC